This 629-nucleotide ribosomal RNA is filed under the name uncultured archaeon. RNAcentral's name for it is "bacterial SSU rRNA". It matches the Rfam family "Archaeal small subunit ribosomal RNA", at positions 147 to 776 of the family's 1478-position model. The record is from RNAcentral.
UAAUACUGGAUAGGCAAUUAUUCCUGUAAUGGUUUUUUGUUUAAAUGUUUUUUCGCCUAAGGAUGGGUCUGCGGCCGAUUAGGUAGUUGGUUAGGUAAUGGCUUACCAAGCCUUUGAUCGGUACGGGUUGUGAGAGCAAGUGCCCGGAGAUGGAACCUGAGACAAGGUUCCAGGCCCUACGGGGUGCAGCAGGCGCGAAACCUCCGCAAUGUGAGAAAUCGCGACGGGGGGAUCCCAAGUGCCAUUCUUAACGGGAUGGCUUUUCUUUAGUGUAAAAAGCUUUUGGAAUAAGAGCUGGGCAAGACCGGUGCCAGCCGCCGCGGUAACACCGGCAGCUCUAGUGGUAGCAAUUUUUAUUGGGCCUAAAGCGUCCGUAGCCGGUUUAAUAAGUCUCUGGUGAAAUCCUGUAGCUUAACUGUGGGAAUUGCUGGAGAUACUAUUAGACUUGAGACCGGGAGAGGUUAGAGGUACUCCCAGGGUAGAGGUGAAAUUCUGUAAUCCUGGGAGGACCGCCUGUUGCGAAGGCGUCUAACUGGAACGGUUCUGACGGUGAGGGACGAAAGUUAGGGGCGCGAACCGGAUUAGAUACCCGGGUAGUCCUAACUGUAAACGAUGCGGACUUGGUGUUG